UCCACGCCCUAAACGAUGAAUGUUAGUCGUUGGAGAGCUAGUCUCUUCAGUGAUGCAGCUAACGCAUUAAACAUUCCGCCUGGGGAGUACGGUCGCAAGAUUAAAACUCAAAGGAAUAGACGGGGACCCGCACAAGUGGUGGAGCAUGUGGUUUAAUUCGAAAAUACGCGAAGAACCUUACCUGGCCUUGACAUCCCAAGAACCCUAUAGAGAUAUGGGGGUGCCCUUCGGGGAGCUUGGUGACAGGUGCUGCACGGCUGUCGUCAGCUCGUGUCGUGAGAUGUUGGG
This 288-nucleotide ribosomal RNA is filed under the name uncultured bacterium. RNAcentral's name for it is "partial 16S ribosomal RNA". It matches the Rfam family "Bacterial small subunit ribosomal RNA", at positions 794 to 1079 of the family's 1533-position model. The record is from RNAcentral.